Molecule: long non-coding RNA, 1238 nt
Filed under: Marmota monax (woodchuck)
Lineage: Eukaryota; Metazoa; Chordata; Mammalia; Rodentia; Sciuridae
Source: RNAcentral
CAGGAGUAUAAAAUGAAUGUCCUUGGCUGCCCUGUCCAGCUAAGAAGCUACCAGCCAACCCCUGGGUAGAGCUUCACCAGUAAUAGUUUGCCUGGACUGCCUGAGACUCCCAGUUCCUCACCAGAAAUAGCAGAGUAGAUGGUGUCUAAACAGAUCAAUUGGAAAGUUUUCAGACCCAGGAGGCUGAAGAUCGUAAAAUGAUCCAUUUGUCAUUGUUUCCUACAAAAAAAAAAAACAUGAGUGUAUACCAUGUGCCAGGUACUAUUUUGAGUCGGUAUCUGGCUUCUGGCAAUCCCUAAUUCCUUUUCUACCCAUGAUAGAGAAAGGAGGAAAGAAUGAAUGAAUGAGAGCCCACAAGAGACCAGGAGAGAGAAAAUGCAGAGAGAAAGCCAUAAACCUUAUUUUUAUAAAUAGCAUCUUGGAUAGGUUCUUCGCAAGGAAAGAAUUCUUGCCAACUUCAAUUCAGGAAAAACAGGCUGAGCAUCUGUGAUCGUUCAUGCACAGGCUAAAUGCUCAAGACAACUAAGGAUCAACCCCUGCUCUGUAGCAGCUCAUGGUCAACAGACAGGGUUAUCUGAUACUAGCAGUGUGGGUGUCCUCCUGUAACCUGUAAGAUACUCUGUGGAAAGUUACCUUUUAUCAGAGCCCAAAACCAUAGUAGUUAUUGUUCAGACUUACUUAUUCUAAGACACUAAGUUAAAAUUGCAAAAAAAGAAAUGGUAAAUGACGAGUCUGUAAUACAUUCAAUGUAGAGAUGGGGCAGCCCUCCCUUUAAUUGUUCAGCUGUCAAGGAGCUUAAGUUGCAUUGAAAAUGGGUCUGCUUUGAGCUAAGAACAUCUGUCUAGUCCUGGCCUUGGAGGACCUUGUCAAAUUUAGCCAUGUAUUGACCAAUGGGUGAUUCUGUUUCAGAACCACCACUGGAGCAGAUACAUCUAGAAAUCAUUACCAGGUGGCCAGGGAUCAGGGCUGCUGUGUGCUCGCCUGUGCACCUUAGACUAUCGUAAAAAAAACCUGUACAUUGUCGCAGCUAAAGGUACACCAGAGGUGGCUCUUAUGUUACUUGAAAGUGUUUUAUAAACACAGAUCACACCAACAUCUGAGUAAUCAAAGACUAUCUGCUUUAAACAAGACAUUCUGAUGCUUUUUUUUCCCCUGAGGACCACCCUGAAAAAAGGCACCUAUUAAUGGGACAUUUCAAAGUGUAACUGUUUUAUAUAAAAUGUAUUACUUGCAGCCAG